GGGGUUUGCAGGUCCUGUGGGCCUUGUGCCCACGGCACAGCACCCAGCAACAUCUUGGGACAUCGAGGGCGCUGACUGAUCUCUCAUCUGGAGAUCAGCUGGUGUGUUGACUCAGUGCCGAAGAGCGGAACGGAGUACAUUUGUUAAAAUAUUGCAGUAUUGUAGAAGCCUGGGGACAAAUCCAACUUUUCAGAGACGUGUGUGUGAGACUGUGCUGUCCCCCAGGGAAAUCUUGGAGCAAGAUCAGGCACUCUCAAAAGAUGCAACACCCAGGUCAGGCAUCCCAAACCCCUCCCAUGAACCCCCUGCAGCAGAAAUUAUCUCCUUCUACAACCCAAACUACCUGAGGACCACUAUAAGCACUGUGGCAAGUCCUGGGCAUUUAGGUUGCAAACAUUUGCCCAGGUGAAACAAGAGGCUCCACGAAGAAUUAAAGGUAAAGCUAAGAAUUUUGUCUUCACAUACUUCACACUAUUGUCUGCUAAUUAACACAAAUAGAAAGUCAAUAAAAUGACCUGAAUUACUGAAAAAUAAGGAGGACUCAUAUUCUAAGGAAGACUGCUGGCUGCUGUCUCCUAUUGCUAGCUUGUAUAUUAAUUAUUUUCCAGCUGAUUCAGAGGGAAGAUAGCCAAGCUGUGAAUCAGCCCUACCUCUUCUUGCAACACCUACCAUUUCCCUAGAUCUCCUCUCCAAAUCCAGCCAGGUCUGGCAGCGCUUUGUUAAUGAGAUCAGUAAUGCCAGCACGAGCUGUAGAGUUGCAGAGUCAGGAGAGAAUUGGAAUAACUCUGCUUUCUUCCACAUUGCAAGGAAAAUGCUAACCGCGAGCUGGAUAUAAUUUUCUCCAGAAGAUGGAUUGAUACUUACAUUUUUGAAGGAUCAGAGGGUUCCUGAUUUCUUUGCCAUGACAUCUGACAGACUGUGCAACAGUGACUCCUUUAAAAAAAAACAACACUGAGAAUCGGAAACACAAAAUAAGCCCUAAUUCCCAGCUCCUGACCACUGUCCAGCAGCCAAGACAUGCCUCCUUGUGUGAGUGAAAGUAGAUAUGACACAGAUUUAAUGAGGCAACAGUUUCUUGUCAGCACCACAGUUCUCCUCAGAAAUGGUAUCCUCAUUCGUUUACUUGACUAAUGCAGUUGUGUUGUGCAAAAAAAAAUGGGAGAAAGCUGUUUGGAGGGCCAAGUAAAUAAGGUUUGAAAAAAACCCCACCCAUAGCUAAAUCAGCACGGUUUGCUGAAGUUUAGACAGGCUUUGGACAUACCAUAGUUUUGAGGAGUUGUGGAGAAGCAUUUCUGGGAACCCUCUGAAAACUUAGGGGGUCUUGUCACCAUGUCUGCAAUGCUUGAGGCUGCACUGGUGGUACAGAGCAUCUAAAAUCAGAAUCAUUGAAUGGUUUGGGUGUUCAGGACCUUCAAGAUCAUCUAGUUCCAACCAGGGACACCUCCCACUGGACCAGGUUGCUUAGAGCCCCCUCCAACCUGGCCUUAAACACUUCCAGGAAUGGUGCAGCCACAGCUUCUGUGGGGUGGAAAUUCUUCAUUAUUAUCGUGUUUUCCUCAAGACUGAAACA
Molecule: long non-coding RNA, 1570 nt
Organism: Hirundo rustica (Barn swallow)
Lineage: Eukaryota; Metazoa; Chordata; Aves; Passeriformes; Hirundinidae
Exons: 3
Source: RefSeq, a predicted model, not a curated record